Molecule: transfer RNA, 78 nt
Filed under: Pantoea ananatis LMG 5342
Lineage: Bacteria; Pseudomonadati; Pseudomonadota; Gammaproteobacteria; Enterobacterales; Erwiniaceae
Description: tRNA-fMet (CAT) (tRNA-fMet-CAT-2-1)
Rfam family: tRNA
About the family: Transfer RNA (tRNA) molecules are approximately 80 nucleotides in length. Their secondary structure includes four short double-helical elements and three loops (D, anti-codon, and T loops). Further hydrogen bonds mediate the characteristic L-shaped molecular structure. tRNAs have two regions of fundamental functional importance: the anti-codon, which is responsible for specific mRNA codon recognition, and the 3' end, to which the tRNAs corresponding amino acid is attached (by aminoacyl-tRNA synthetases). tRNAs cope with the degeneracy of the genetic code in two manners: having more than one tRNA (with a specific anti-codon) for a particular amino acid; and 'wobble' base-pairing, i.e. permitting non-standard base-pairing at the 3rd anti-codon position.
Source: RNAcentral
CGCGGGGUGGAGCAGCCUGGUAGCUCGUCGGGCUCAUAACCCGAAGGUCGUCGGUUCAAAUCCGGCCCUCCGCAACCA